RNAcentral lists this ribosomal RNA (1439 nucleotides) under uncultured organism. RNAcentral's name for it is "16S ribosomal RNA". It matches the Rfam family "Bacterial small subunit ribosomal RNA". The record is from RNAcentral.
CAGGCUUAACACAUGCAAGUCGAGGGGCAGCAUGGUCUUAGCUCGCUAAGGCCGAUGGCGACCGGCGCACGGGUGAGUAACACGUAUCCAACCUGCCGUCUACUCUUGGACAGCCUCCUGAAAGGAAGAUUAAUACAAGAUGGCAUCAUGAGUCCGCAUGUUCACAUGAUUAAAGGUAUUCCGGUAGACGAUGGGGAUGCGUUCCAUUAGAUAGUAGGCGGGGUAACGGCCCACCUAGUCUUCGAUGGAUAGGGGUUCUGAGAGGAAGGUCCCCCACAUUGGAACUGAGACACGGUCCAAACUCCUACGGGAGGCAGCAGUGAGGAAUAUUGGUCAAUGGGCGCAGGCCUGAACCAGCCAAGUAGCGUGAAGGAUGACUGCCCUAUGGGUUGUAAACUUCUUUUAUAAAGGAAUAAAGUCGGGUAUGGAUACCCGUUUGCAUGUACUUUAUGAAUAAGGAUCGGCUAACUCCGUGCCAGCAGCCGCGGUAAUACGGAGGAUCCGAGCGUUAUCCGGAUUUAUUGGGUUUAAAGGGAGCGUAGAUGGAUGUUUAAGUCAGUUGUGAAAGUUUGCGGCUCAACCGUAAAAUUGCAGUUGAUACUGGAUAUCUUGAGUGCAGUUGAGGCAGGCGGAAUUCGUGGUGUAGCGGUGAAACGCUUAGAUAUCACGAAGAACUCCGAUUGCGAAGGCAGCCUGCUAAGCUGCAACUGACAUUGAGGCUCGAAAGUGUGGGUAUCAAACAGGAUUAGAUACCCUGGUAGUCCACACGGUAAACGAUGAAUACUCGCUGUUUGCGAUAUACGGCAAGCGGCCAAGCGAAAGCGUUAAGUAUUCCACCUGGGGAGUACGCCGGCAACGGUGAAACUCAAAGGAAUUGACGGGGGCCCGCACAAGCGGAGGAACAUGUGGUUUAAUUCGAUGAUACGCGAGGAACCUUACCCGGGCUUAAAUUGCAGAUGAAUUACGGUGAAAGCCGUAAGCCGCAAGGCAUCUGUGAAGGUGCUGCAUGGUUGUCGUCAGCUCGUGCCGUGAGGUGUCGGCUUAAGUGUCAUAACGAGCGCAACCCUUGUUGUCAGUUACUAACAGGUUCCGCUGAGGACUCUGACAAGACUGCCAUCGUAAGAUGUGAGGAAGGUGGGGAUGACGUCAAAUCAGCACGGCCCUUACGUCCGGGGCUACACACGUGUUACAAUGGGGGGUACAGAGGGCCGCUACCACGCGAGUGGAUGCCAAUCCCAAAAACCUCUCUCAGUUCGGACUGGAGUCUGCAACCCGACUCCACGAAGCUGGAUUCGCUAGUAAUCGCGCAUCAGCCACGGCGCGGUGGAUACGUUCCCGGGCCUUGUACACACCGCCCGUCAAGCCAUGGGAGCCGGGGGUACCUGAAGUGCGUAACCGCGAGGAGCGCCCUAGGGUAAAACUGGUGACUGGGGCUAAGU